UGGGGAAUUUUGGACAAUGGGCGAAAGCCUGAUCCAGCCAUGCCGCGUGAGUGAAGAAGGCCUUCGGGUUGUAAAGCUCUUUUAGUCGGAAAGAAAGAGUUGCAAUGAAUAAUUGUGAUUUAUGACGGUACCGACAGAAAAAGCACCGGCUAACUACGUGCCAGCAGCCGCGGUAAUACGUAGGGUGCGAGCGGUAAUCGGAAUUACUGGGCGUAAAGGGUGCGCAGGCGGUCUUGCAAGUCAGAUGUGAAAGCCCCGGGCUUAACCUGGGAAUUGCGUUUGAAACUACAAGACUAGAGUGCAGCAGAGGGGAGUGGAAUUCCAUGUGUAGCAGUGAAAUGCGUAGAGAUGUGGAAGAACACCGAUGGCGAAGGCAGCUCCCUGGGUUGACACUGACGCUCAUGCACGAAAGCGUGGGGAGCAAACA
RNAcentral lists this ribosomal RNA (427 nucleotides) under uncultured beta proteobacterium. RNAcentral's name for it is "bacterial SSU rRNA". It matches the Rfam family "Bacterial small subunit ribosomal RNA", at positions 355 to 774 of the family's 1533-position model. The record is from RNAcentral. Lineage: Bacteria; Pseudomonadati; Pseudomonadota; Betaproteobacteria.